GAUGAACGCUGGCGGCGUGCCUAAUACAUGCAAGUCGAACGAACAGACGAGGAGCUUGCUCCUCUGACGUUAUCGGCGGACGGGAGAGUAACACAUGUAUAACCUACCUAUAAGACUGGUAUAACUUCGGCAAACCGGACCUAACACCGGAUGAUAUAUUGAAUCUCAUGCUUCAAUAGUCAAAUUCGCUUUUUUUGUCACUUAUUGAUGGAUCCGCGCCGCAUUCGUUAGUUGGUAAGGAAACGGAUUACCAAGGCAACGAAGCGAAGACGACCUCAGAGGGUGAUCGACCAGACGGGAACUGAGGAACGGUCCGAACUCUGACGGGAGGCAACGGAAGGAAAUCUUACGAAAUGAGGGAAUGCCGAAUGGAGCAACGCGGCGUGAGUGAUGAGGGUCUUCGGAUCGUAAAACUUUGUUAUUAGGAAGGAACAAAUGUGUAAGUAACUGUGCACAUAUUGACGGUACCUAAUCAGAAAGCCACGGCUAACUACGUG
Molecule: ribosomal RNA, 497 nt
Filed under: uncultured bacterium
Lineage: Bacteria
Description: partial 16S ribosomal RNA
Rfam family: Bacterial small subunit ribosomal RNA
Source: RNAcentral